UACAGAGGGUGCGAGCGUUGUUCGGAAUUAUUGGGCGUAAAGGGCGCGUAGGCGGUGCGGUAAGUCACCUGUGAAAUCUCCUGGCUCAACUGGGAGCUUGCAGGCGAAACUGCCGUGCUGGAGUGUGGGAGAGGUGCGUGGAAUUCCCGGUGUAGCGGUGAGAUGCGUAGAUAUCAGGAAGAACACCCGUGGCUAAGGCGGCUCUCUAGUACGGUACUGACGCUGAGACGCGAAAGCGUGGGGAGCGAACAGG
RNAcentral lists this ribosomal RNA (253 nucleotides) under uncultured bacterium. Its description in RNAcentral is "partial 16S ribosomal RNA". It matches the Rfam family "Bacterial small subunit ribosomal RNA", at positions 524 to 776 of the family's 1533-position model. The record is from RNAcentral.